CGCGCAGACCGCCUUAUCGUCGCUCAAUUCGUUGAGGGGAGGAAAGUCCGGACACCACAGAGAAGCAUAGCGGGUAACACCCGUCGGUCCCGAUUUAUCGGGAUUAGGACAAGUGCAACAGAAAGUAUGUACAGGUAAUGCUGUAGUGAAACCAGGUAAACUCUAUGCGGUGAAAUACCAAGUAUAUCAGCAUUUAAGGGCUUCUCGUCCGUUGUUGAAGGGUAGGUAGCUUGAGUCAUGCAGCAAUGCAUGAUCUAGAUAAAUGAUAAGGCCCUGAUUUAUCAGGGACAGAAUCCGGCUUAUAGGUCUGCAUUUUUU
Molecule: RNase P RNA, 318 nt
Filed under: Flavobacteriaceae bacterium CRH
Lineage: Bacteria; Pseudomonadati; Bacteroidota; Flavobacteriia; Flavobacteriales; Flavobacteriaceae
Description: bacterial RNase P
Rfam family: Bacterial RNase P class A
About the family: Ribonuclease P (RNase P) is a ubiquitous endoribonuclease, found in archaea, bacteria and eukarya as well as chloroplasts and mitochondria. Its best characterised activity is the generation of mature 5'-ends of tRNAs by cleaving the 5'-leader elements of precursor-tRNAs. Cellular RNase Ps are ribonucleoproteins.
Source: RNAcentral